Molecule: ribosomal RNA, 751 nt
Filed under: Golovinomyces monardae
Lineage: Eukaryota; Fungi; Ascomycota; Leotiomycetes; Helotiales; Erysiphaceae
Description: eukaryotic LSU rRNA
Rfam family: Eukaryotic large subunit ribosomal RNA
Source: RNAcentral
UUGACCUCGAAUCAGGUAGGGAUACCCGCUGAACUUAAGCAUAUCAAUAAGCGGAGGAAAAGAAACCAACCGGGAUUACCUCAGUAACGGCGAGUGAAGCGGUAACAGCUCAAAUUUGAAAUCUGGCUCCUGCGGAGUCCGAGUUGUAAUUUGUAGAAGAUGCUUUGGGAGGUAGGGCCGGCCUAAGUUCCUUGGAACAGGACAUCAGAGAGGGUGAGAAUCCCGUAUGCGGCCGCGGCCUACGCCCGUGUAAAGCUCUUUCGACGAGUCGAGUUGUUUGGGAAUGCAGCUCAAAAUGGGUGGUAAAUUUCAUCUAAAGCUAAAUAUUGGCCAGAGACCGAUAGCGCACAAGUAGAGUGAUCGAAAGAUGAAAAGCACUUUGGAAAGAGAGUUAAACAGUACGUGAAAUUGUUGAAAGGGAAGCGCUUGCACCCAGACUUGGGCGUCGUCGAUCAUCCGAGGUUCUCCUCGGUGCACUCGACGAUGCACAGGCCAGCAUCGGUUUGGGUGGUUGGAGAAAGGCUCUAGGAACGUAGCUCUCUUCGGGGAGUGUUAUAGCCUAGGGCGUAAUGCAGCCCAUCCGGACCGAGGACCGCGCCUUCGGGCUAGGAUGCUGGCGUAAUGGUUGCAAGCGACCCGUCUUGAAACACGGACCAAGGAGUCUAACAUCUAUGCGAGUGUUUGGGCGUUAAACCCAUACGCGGAAUGAAAGUGAACGUAGGUGAGAACCCGUUAGGGUGCAUCAUCGACC